This 524-nucleotide ribosomal RNA is filed under the name uncultured bacterium. Its description in RNAcentral is "bacterial SSU rRNA". It matches the Rfam family "Bacterial small subunit ribosomal RNA", at positions 355 to 896 of the family's 1533-position model. The record is from RNAcentral.
UGAGGAAUAUUGCACAAUGGGCGCAAGCCUGAUGCAGCAACGCCGCGUGGGCGAUGAAGGCCUUCGGGUUGUAAAGCCCUUUUACAGGGGACGAGAGAGGACGGUACCCUGUGAAUAAGGUUCGGCUAACUACGUGCCAGCAGCCGCGGUAAUACGUAGGAACCGAGCGUUAUCCGGAUUCACUGGGCGUAAAGCGCGUGUAGGCGGUUCCGCAAGUCGGACGUGAAAGCUCCUGGCUUAACUGGGAGAGGUCGUUCGAAACUGCGGGGCUUGAGGUCGGGAGAGGGACGUGGAAUUCCCGGUGUAGUGGUGGAAUGCGUAGAUAUCGGGAGGAACACCAGUGGCGAAGGCGACGUCCUGGCCCGCACCUGACGCUGAGACGCGAAAGCGUGGGGAGCAAACGGGAUUAGAUACCCCGGUAGUCCACGCUGUAAACGGUGGAUACUAGGUGUUGGUGGCUAUCGUCAUCAGUGCCGUAGCAAACGCGUUAAGUAUCCCGCCUGGGGACUACGGCCGCAAGGCUA